CUACUAUAUUCUUAUGAGUAUUAACCCAUUUGUACUCAUAAGUUUUCCACCGUGGGAUGAAGAGAUAUACGAUUAGGAUGAUAGUGAUCCCCGGUUAAGAUGAUAGUGGUCCCCUAGGGUUGAGUGAGUGGUUGGUUGAAUAUUAUGAUUUAACGGUAGAAAUAAUCAGAGGGGUAGAUCUAACGGCUGAAAAUUUAUGAAUACAAAAGACAUAUACUUUAUUAGUAGUCGGACUCUAUGGCACUG
Molecule: long non-coding RNA, 246 nt
Filed under: Ananas comosus (pineapple)
Lineage: Eukaryota; Viridiplantae; Streptophyta; Magnoliopsida; Poales; Bromeliaceae
Description: long non-coding RNA (ACOM_LNC020868)
Source: RNAcentral